UUGAUCCUGGCUCAGAACGAACGCUGGCGGCGCGUUUUAAGCAUGCAAGUCGAACGGUAGAGAAGUGCUUGCACUUCUUGAGAGUGGCGAACGGGUGAGUAACACGUAGGUGAUCUACCGCAGGGGUUGGGGAUAGCCCAUGGAAACAUGGGGUAAUACCGAAUACGCUCAUUUGGCUGUGGCCGGAUGAGGAAAGGCGCUUCGGCGUCGCCCUGCGAUGAGCCUGCGCCCCAUUAGCUAGUUGGUAGGAUAAAGGCCUACCAAGGCGACGAUGGGUAGCCGGCCUGAGAGGGUGAUCGGCCACACUGGGACUGAGAUACGGCCCAGACUCCUACGGGAGGCAGCAGCUAAGAAUCUUCCGCAAUGGACGAAAGUCUGACGGAGCGACGCCGCGUGGGUGAAGAAGGCCGGAAGGUUGUAAAGCCCUUUUCUCGUUGAGGAAUAAGCACAGGAGGGAAUGCCUGUGCGAUGACGGUAGGCGAGGAAUAAGUCCCGGCCAAUUACGUGCCAGCAGCCGCGGUAACACGUAUGGGACGAGCGUUGUUCGGAAUCAUUGGGCGUAAAGGGCGCGUAGGCGGCGAGGUAAGCCUGGUGUGAAAGACCGCAGCUUAACUGCGGAACCGCGCUAGGAACUGCUUUGCUUGAGUUCAGGAGGGGGAGCUGGAAUUCCAGGUGUAGGGGUGAAAUCUGUAGAUAUCUGGAAGAACACCGGCGGCGAAGGCGAGCUCCUGGCCAUGAACUGACGCUGAGGCGCGAAAGCGUGGGGAGCGAACAGGAUUAGAUACCCUGGUAGUCCACGCUGUAAACGAUGUGCACUAGGUGUUGGGCCACGAAGGUUCAGUGCCGGAGUCAACGCGUUAAGUGCACCGCCUGGGGAGUAUGCUCGC
RNAcentral lists this ribosomal RNA (887 nucleotides) under uncultured organism. RNAcentral describes it as "bacterial SSU rRNA". It matches the Rfam family "Bacterial small subunit ribosomal RNA", at positions 13 to 889 of the family's 1533-position model. The record is from RNAcentral.